RNAcentral lists this long non-coding RNA (767 nucleotides) under Zalophus californianus (California sea lion). RNAcentral's name for it is "lncRNA (ENSZCAG00015016124.1)". Lineage: Eukaryota; Metazoa; Chordata; Mammalia; Carnivora; Otariidae. The record is from RNAcentral.
GGGGAGGCUCCCGCCCCCGGACCCCCGGCUCGGCGGGUCUGAGACCCCGGCGCGCCAGGGGGCUGGAAGAGCCAGGGCCGAGGCCGGCUGCGUCGCGGAGCGCGGGGCCGCAGAACCCCAUCGAUUCGCCUCGGCUCCCUGGCUGGCCCGGGCCGCUGUCCUUGACCUGAGUGAGUCAACACGGCGUCAUCCCUUGGCGGCCGAGCCCGGGGUGGCUGUUACUGCGUGGUACUUCCAACCAACCUCGUGAGCCAGGCGCCCCAGGUAAGCGAACUUCCGUGUAGCCUUCGGGCGUACAACCUUGAGGGCAGCAGGAACCACCAUCCGUUUUUUCUUGUCGUAGGGUGGCAGGAUCCCAUCAAACACCUUGAGGCGCUCCAGGGCAGCCUGGCCUCGUUUGGUCUUGUGCGGCAGCAUGCCUCGCACUGUCUGCCAAAAGAUGCGGCUGGGUGCUCGGAAGUGGUAGGGGCCACAGGAUGGAUUGGUGUUCAUGCGCUUGUGGAGGAAGGCCAGGUACUUCAACUUGUUUCUGUAGAAAUUGCCAGAAAUGUUGAUGGCCUCACAGCGCACGACUACAACCUUCCGGCCCAGAAGCACCUGUUUGGCCACGAUGGCCGCCAGGCGGUCCAGGAGAUGGCCUCGGCCAUCAAGCACCAAGACCUGCCCCUCCACCAUCUUUGGCAGCCGCCUGGGAAAAGUAGUAUUAUAAUUCUUAAUACUUCUACUACUAAUAUUGAGACUGUCAUCAUUUUUAUUGGCAGUAUAGU